Molecule: ribosomal RNA, 495 nt
Filed under: uncultured bacterium
Lineage: Bacteria
Description: partial 16S ribosomal RNA
Rfam family: Bacterial small subunit ribosomal RNA
Source: RNAcentral
UGAACGCUGGCGGCGUGCCUAAUACAUGCAAGUCGAGCGAACAGAUGAGGAGCUUGCUCCUCUGACGUUAGCGGCGGACGGGUGAGUAACACGUGGAUAACCUACCUAUAAGACUGGGAUAACUUCGGGAAACCGGAGCUAAUACCGGAUAAUAUAUUGAACCGCAUGGUUCAAUAGUGAAAGACGGUUUUGCUGUCACUUAUAGAUGGAUCCGCGCCGCAUUAGCUAGUUGGUAAGGUAACGGCUUACCAAGGCAACGAUGCGUAGCCGACCUGAGAGGGUGAUCGGCCACACUGGAACUGAGACACGGUCCAGACUCCUACGGGAGGCAGCAGUAGGGAAUCUUCCGCAAAGGGCGAAAGCCUGACGGAGCAACGCCGCGUGAGUGAUGAAGGUCUUCGGAUCGUAAAACUCUGUUAUUAGGGAAGAACAAAUGUGUAAGUAACUAUGCACGUCUUGACGGUACCUAGUCAGAAAGCCACGGCUAACUACGUG